CUCUCCUGCAACGUUUUUUUCCAAUCGGAAAAUGAAGUGUAAGUCGAGCUUUGCCGCAGGCGGCCCUGGGUCUCCGCUUUCGGAGACUCGGAGUGCCGGGGAGGGAUGCGCUGCCCCCGUCGGCGCGAACCCGGAGGAUGGAGUGGGGGUCCCCCCGCCCAGCGCCCCGGCCGGGCCGCUCCGCCGAGCGAGGCCCAGGAGCGCGCGAGACCCAAGUCCAGCUCCGCCCGGAGGAGCGCGGGGGCGCUCAGAACGCGGGUCGCCGGCCUCGCCGAGGGUUCAAGUGCAACCCCGCGUCGGAGCCCGCGGCUCUGGGAGCGAGUUCUCCCUGCUCCGCCUCGUGUCGGGAGUUCCCUGGGCCCCGCUGCUCCCGGGACCCCACUCCGUCACCCUCCCGGCCGCGCUGGGCCGCCGGCCUGGGGCGUAAACCGAGGCGCACGGACCGGACGGGCACCCCGAUCGCGCCCCUCCUCUUCCCCAGUCCGCACCCACGGCCGGGGCGCCCCACAAGGCCAACGUGGAGGCUCCGCCUGGAAAAGAAGUUGGACUUCCUCCCCACGCUGCUCCGAGUGGAACCUGGAAUGGGCAGGAAAUUGCUGGAACACGUAGCCGCGCCUUUGCAGCCCGCCUCGCUUUGCUGAAGGGAAGCAGCUCCCACCACAGUCUUGCCUCCCCCUCCCCCCGCAGGUUUGAAGGGAUUUCCUGCCUUUGAAGUGCAGCAGUUUGCCACCUGUUUGGAUGGCCUCGCUGAAGUUGGGGCUCCGCUUCUACUUUGAAAGACUGUGACUCCAUGUUUCCUGGCUCGAGUUUCCGAGCUCACUGGAGGCAGUGCUACCUGCAGCUGGGAGGCUUUCCUUACAAGUCGGUGCCUGCAGACCCCGUAUUCCCGGCUCCGUUCCUCUAGGUCAGAGCCUGCAAGAAGAGCCCGGAGCCAUGCACUCACCUGGGUGAAGCCAUAGGAGUUUGUAUGUGGAGUAUUUUCACUGUGAGCCAAGACAGGAUGAAAGUCCUGCCGAUGAUUCGCCUUUGGGAAGGCAGCAAUCUCGCUGGGUCUCAAUUUCCCCCUCUAUGCAAUGGCAGCUCCCCUUUGCCUUCAGCUGAGGUCAUGUGACAAGUUUCCAUCAAUGGAAAAUGAGUAGGAGGAGGGUUUCUAAGAAGUGGAUGGAGUCUAUCCUACUCUCUCUGAGCACUGGAAAUGAUUACAAAGACCUAAAACAAGGCUGAGCCUCAAGACAGAAACUGGAAUCUUUUGUCCCACAGAUAAGGAACAUCUGCUUUGGGCUGUUAUCUGAGUGAGAAAUAAACUUUUAUUGUUUUAAGCCAA
Molecule: long non-coding RNA, 1324 nt
Organism: Myotis myotis
Lineage: Eukaryota; Metazoa; Chordata; Mammalia; Chiroptera; Vespertilionidae
Exons: 4
Source: RefSeq, a predicted model, not a curated record